This 542-nucleotide ribosomal RNA is filed under the name uncultured bacterium. RNAcentral's name for it is "bacterial SSU rRNA". It matches the Rfam family "Bacterial small subunit ribosomal RNA", at positions 84 to 641 of the family's 1533-position model. The record is from RNAcentral.
CCUUCGGGCUAGUGGCGAACGGCGGAGUAAUACAUAAGCAACCUGCCCUGAAGACGGGGAUAUACGGGGGAAACCCCGGGUAAUACCCGAUGUGACUCCAGAGAGGCAUCUCUCAGGAAUUAAACGGUUUUUCGCUUCAGGAGGGGCUUAUGAUGCAUCAGGUAGUUGGUGGGGUAAAGGCCUACCAAGCCGACGACGCAUAGGGGGUCUGAGAGGAUGAUCCCCCCGAGUGGGACUGAGACACGGCCCACACACCUACGGGUGGCAGCAGUUGGGAAUCUUGCACAAUGGGGGAAACCCUGAUGCAGCGACGCCGCGUGGAGGAUGACGGCCCUAGGGUUGUAAACUCCUUUUGCACGGAAAGACUUAGGACGGUACCGUGCGAAUAAGCCCCGGCUAACUACGUGCCAGCAGCCGCGGUAAGACGUAGGGGGCAAGCGUUGUCCGGAUUUACUGGGCGUAAAGAGCUCGUAGGCGGUCUGUUAAGUGAAUGGUGAAAUCUCCAGCGCUCAACGCGGAAAUUGCCUUUCAUACUGGCAGAC